This 301-nucleotide ribosomal RNA is filed under the name uncultured bacterium. Its description in RNAcentral is "partial 16S ribosomal RNA". It matches the Rfam family "Bacterial small subunit ribosomal RNA", at positions 509 to 809 of the family's 1533-position model. The record is from RNAcentral.
CAGUCGCCGCGGUAACACGGAGGAUCCAAGCGUUAUCCGAAAUCAUUGGGUUUAAAGGGUCCGUAGGCGGUCUUGUAAGUCAGUGGUGAAAGCCCAUCGCUCAACGGUGGAACGGCCAUUGAUACUGCAGGACUUGAAUUAUUGGGAAGUAACUAGAAUAUGUAGUGUAGCGGUGAAAUGCUUAGAGAUUACAUGGAAUACCAAUUGCGAAGGCAGGUUACUACCAAUUGAUUGACGCUGAUGGACGAAAGCGUGGGUAGCGAACAGGAUUAGAUACCCCUGUAGUCCCUGUCUCUUAUAA